AAAACUUUCAACAACGGAUCUCUUGGUUCUCGCAUCGAUGAAGAACGUAGCGAAUUGCGAUAAGUAAUGUGAAUUGCAGAUACUCGUGAAUCAUUGAAUUUUUGAACGCACAUUGCGCCCUUGAGCAUUCUCAGGGGCAUGCCUGUUUGAGCGUCAUU
RNAcentral lists this ribosomal RNA (158 nucleotides) under Hanseniaspora uvarum. RNAcentral describes it as "5.8S ribosomal RNA". It matches the Rfam family "5.8S ribosomal RNA". Rfam says of the family: 5.8S ribosomal RNA (5.8S rRNA) is a component of the large subunit of the eukaryotic ribosome. It is transcribed by RNA polymerase I as part of the 45S precursor that also contains 18S and 28S rRNA. Functionally, it is thought that 5.8S rRNA may be involved in ribosome translocation. Lineage: Eukaryota; Fungi; Ascomycota; Saccharomycetes; Saccharomycodales; Saccharomycodaceae. The record is from RNAcentral.